RNAcentral lists this transfer RNA (754 nucleotides) under Bradyrhizobium liaoningense. RNAcentral describes it as "partial contains 16S-23S ribosomal RNA intergenic spacer and 23S ribosomal RNA". The stretch from base 126 to 199 matches the Rfam family "tRNA". Lineage: Bacteria; Pseudomonadati; Pseudomonadota; Alphaproteobacteria; Hyphomicrobiales; Nitrobacteraceae. The record is from RNAcentral.
AGAUCGCCAGAUCGUUGAGCUGCAUUGGCGGGAUUUCGCCGUCUUCGUUUCUCUUUCUUCGCGGACGAACACGCGCUGGGGCUGCAGGCUUGCAGAUCCCUGGUCCUUGACUGGAUAUGCGUUAGGGGCUUGUAGCUCAGUUGGUUAGAGCGCGCGCUUGAUAAGCGUGAGGUCGGAAGUUCAAGUCUUCCCAGGCCCACCACUUUCAUCGAGUGUGCAUUCGUCUUCUGGUUACGGGGCCAUAGCUCAGCUGGGAGAGCGCGUGCUUUGCAAGCAUGAGGUCGUCGGUUCGAUCCCGUCUGGCUCCACCAGAUGGUUUGAUCACCGAGAUCUUGUACCGUCGUCCGCGAAACAUCACUUCGCACUUGCUAGUCCGGAUGGACAGUAAGCUGCGUGAUUUCUGACAUCGUAAAGAGGAGAUCGAUCCGAGUUGGAUCGUGCGGAGAAUAUCUGCGCGAUACUUCAUUAUCUCCGGAUCAUUUCGGCGCUCGCGCGCCUUUCAGUGUAGCUCACAAGGCUGCGGCUGAGAGACGGGCGAGUUGUGAAUGAUCCUUUUAGCGAAGCUUGACCGCCUCGCUAUCGGAACGAUCUUACGAAGCAAGCUGGUCUUUCUAGUCAAUGUCCGGCUGCAGAUAGCGUUCAUCGAGGGCGCGUGCCGCAAGGUAAUUCUGCAGACAACAUUCUGCCGAGUGUGUGGACAUUGAUAAUGAGAGCAAUCAAGUGCCUUAAGGGUGUUCGGUGGAUGCCUUGGCGC